GGCCUAACACAUGCAAGUCGAACGAUGCUUUCGGGCAUAGUGGCGCACGGGUGCGUAACGCGUGGGAAUCUGCCCCUUGGUCUGGGAUAACCGUUGGAAACGACGGCUAAUACCGGAUGACGACGAGAGUCCAAAGAUUUAUCGCCGAGGGAUGAGCCCGCGUCAGAUUAGGUAGUUGGUGUGGUAAAGGCGCACCAAGCCGACGAUCUGUAGCUGGUCUGAGAGGAUGAUCAGCCACACUGGGACUGAGACACGGCCCAGACUCCUACGGGAGGCAGCAGUGGGGAAUAUUGGACAAUGGGCGAAAGCCUGAUCCAGCAAUGCCGCGUGAGUGAUGAAGACCUUAGGGUUGUAAAGCUCUUUUACCCGGGAUGAUAAUGACAGUACCGGGAGAAUAAGCUCCGGCUAACUCCGUGCCAGCAGCCGCGGUAAU
Molecule: ribosomal RNA, 433 nt
Filed under: uncultured bacterium
Lineage: Bacteria
Description: bacterial SSU rRNA
Rfam family: Bacterial small subunit ribosomal RNA
Source: RNAcentral